GUGACUGCGUACCUUUUGUAUAAUGGGUCAGCGACUUAUAUUCUGUAGCAAGGUUAACCGUAUAGGGGAGCCGGAGGGAAACCGAGUCUUAACCGGGCGUUAAGUUGCAGGGUAUAGACCCGAAACCCGGUGAUCUAGCCAUGGGCAGGUUGAAGGUUGGGUAACACUAACUGGAGGACCGAACCGACUAAUGUUGAAAAAUUAGCGGAUGACCUGUGGCUGGGGGUGAAAGGCCAAUCAAACCGGGAGAUAGCUGGUUCUCCCCGAAAGCUAUUUAGGUAGCGCCUCGUGAAUUCAUCUCCGGGGGUAGAGCACUGUUUCGGCUAGGGGGCCAUCCCGGCUUACCAACCCGAUGCAAACUGCGAAUACCGGAGAAUGUUAUCACGGGAGACACACGGCGGGUGCUAACGUCCGUCGUGAAGAGGGAAACAACCCAGACCGCCAGCUAAGGUCCCAAAGUCAUGGUUAAGUGGGAAACGAUGUGGGAAGGCCCAGACAGCCAGGAUGUUGGCUUAGAAGCAGCCAUCAUUUAAAGAAAGCGUAAUAGCUCACUGGUCGAGUCGGCCUGCGCGGAAGAUGUAACGGGGCUAAACCAUGCACCGAAGCUGCGGCAGCGACACUGUGUGUUGUUGGGUAGGGGAGCGUUCUGUAAGCCUGCGAAGGUGGCCUGUGAGGGUUGCUGGAGGUAUCAGAAGUGCGAAUGCUGACAUAAGUAACGAUAAAGCGGGUGAAAAGCCCGCUCGCCGGAAGA
This 751-nucleotide ribosomal RNA is filed under the name Salmonella enterica subsp. enterica. Its description in RNAcentral is "partial 23S ribosomal RNA". It matches the Rfam family "Bacterial large subunit ribosomal RNA", at positions 593 to 1344 of the family's 2925-position model. Lineage: Bacteria; Pseudomonadati; Pseudomonadota; Gammaproteobacteria; Enterobacterales; Enterobacteriaceae. The record is from RNAcentral.